AAGUUUUGCAAGCGCCUGGGCUGCGCGUGGCCGCCGGCAUCCUACCCUGGGUGUCCUGACUCCGAGGGGCCGCCGAGAGGGGCGGAGGGUUCACCCUUUCGGUCUCUCGUCGCCUCCCGGGUCUGGCCGCGGGGGUCUUCUAACAGCCUGGACUCUGUUCUCUGCCUCCUUUUGUCCCUCUCAUUUCUGCCUUUGCUUCCACACCCAGCGAGAUGCAGCGCCCAGUCCAAAACUUGAGUUCUUUACUCAAACUACAAAGUGAGUUUACUACCGAGAGAGAAAAACUUAAAGGGCCAAAUCUUAUGAGAAAAUUGUAGUAUAUUUUUAGUAGCGAGUGUGGAAUACCAGUGCUUCUCAAACUUUAAUAUGCAUCCGGCACACUUGACGAUCUUGUGAAAAUACUGACUCUUUGAUUCAGUAGAUCUGGCGUGGAGCCUCAGUUUCUGCAUUUUUACCAUCGUGGCUGAUUCCAAGGCUGAUGAUCCUGGAGCCACAGGCUGGAGUGCAAUGGCGUGCGAUCUCAGCUCACUGCAACCUCUGCCUCCUGGGUUCAAGUGAUUCUUCUCCCCCAGCCUCCUGAGUAACUGGGAUUACAGGUGUGAUAACAAAGGCUCACAAAAAUCAAGUUUUAAGCCCCAAGUCCCGCAGUGAAUGAGCAGCAGAGCUGCAGCUCGUCUCAGUCCUGUGAAUCGCACCAUGGCCUGGAAGGAAAAGUUUAGGGCAAUAUAACCCUCUACAAACAACCUUCCGAAGCAGGACGAGUGUUUUCACAAAGCUUCAUGGAAUGUCGAAGUGCAGGAACAAAAUAUUUUAGCUGGAAAAAUAACACGUAGCCAGAAAUCAACCCCAAUCCUACCAAAAAUAAUGAUGCCAGGAAACAGAGCUACAUACACAAAAGGGAAUGUGUACCAGGAUACACAUAAUAAAGUCACCUUGGCAAAGCUGGUGUCCUGGCCAAGCCAGAGGAGUGAUUCAAUUUAAGAGAGAAUUGGAAGGAGGACAUGUGCCCUAGCUAGUCCAUCGGAAGAAGUGUGCCAACCCACUGCCUUAUCACCAUAAGCCUGAUCAUAGCAAAACUACAGAGUAGUUAAAAUGAAAAUUUCCAAGGUAGAAGAAGAUCAGGCAGUGGUAAUACUGGAAGCUGGCUGCAUAAGCCAGUGGCUCAGAUCUCACAGUGCAGGGCCAAAGAAGACAAAGUUGAAGUCAAUACUGAUACGGGCCAGUUGGCUUUGCACUGAGGAGGCAAAAAGUUCUAUGGUCACUGACUAGAACCUUCAUCCCACUCAGUCAUCCUGCCAAUGCUGGUGUUUGGGGUCAAAAAGGGAUUGGGAAAGAGUGUGGAAGACCUAUUUCCAGUGUUGACAAGCAGGGCUUACAUUCAGACAGAGAACGCCAAUACAGACAGUCAACUGUUGAAUAAUAAAACACCUCUGGACCAGUUGGGGGCUGAUCCCCCUGGGUGCCUCCCAUAUCACCCCAGCUACCCCUGGAGCUCCCUGAUGCAGUGACCAUUUGGGAUUAAAGCUUCAUGCAACUAGUUGAUGCCCUCUCUUUUGAAUAUCAUUUCUGAUCACAACUACUAGAAAAUAGCAAAUAACUACCAUUCAUUCAUUUAUUCAUUUGCUCAAUUCUUUGGUGGGAGGAGCAUGCAUGCUACUUUUUUACACUGAUACAUAAUAUUUUACAUAUGUAUGGGGUACAUGUGAUAUUUUGUUACAUGCAUGGAAUGUAUAAUGAUGAAGUGAGGGUUAUUGGCAUAUGUAUCACCUUGAGUAUCUAUCAUCUCUAUGUGCUGGGAACAAUUCAAGUCCUCUCUUCUAGCUACCUUGAAAUAUAUCGUUAACUAGAGUCACCCUGAUGCAGGGCAGGCAAGCCCCAGAGUGGGGCUUAGCCCUCGAGGGUUCUUGGUUUUGCCCAGGAAAGAAUUCAAGGGCAAGCCAGGGGUAGGAGAAGAGCUUUAUUGAGGCAGCAGUGUUACAGCGCUGGUGGUGGUACUGCUCCGUGACUGCUCUUGCAGAACAGGGCUGCCCUGUAGGCAAAGAGUAGCAACUCAGAGCAGUUUUGCAGUCACAUUUAUACUCACCCACAUAAUAACAUGCAGAUUAAGGGGCAAUUUAUGCAGAAAUUUCUAGGGAAGGAGUAGUAGCUUUUGAGUCAUCAGGUCAUUACCACAGAAAGGGGCAAUAACUCCUGGGUGUUUCCAUGGUAAUGGUAAACUGACAUGGCACACUGGUGGGUGUGUCUGAUUGGAAAGCUGCUCCCACCCCGGCCCUGUUUUAGCUAAUUCCCAGUAUGGUCUGGUGUCCGAGCCCCGCCUCUGGCAUUGAGUCCCACCUCCUACUUCAACCCUACUCUGUUGUCCAUCAUUAGAACUGUGAUCCCAGCACUUUGGGAGGCCAAGGCAGCACCUAUUAUUUUUCUCAUUUUCAGAAGAAGAAUCUGUACCUUAUUAAAAGUUGCAGAGUUAAGAAAUGGCUGAAAAUUCGAACUGUUGUUCAAAUCCUUAGUCUAGGCUUUAAACCGUGUUAAAAUACCACCUAUACUGGGACUUCAGAAAGAGUGCAAACCAAAAAAAAGCAACUAUUUGGGGAUGGGGUGAGAGCGAGACAGAAACAAUAUUAGGAAAUUUUUUAUACACUCACACUCUCUCUGUAGAAAUAUGGAAAGACAGGAAAAUGUCUUGUAAUGACUUGAGGAGACAGAAUUAUGGACAGUUCCCUAUCCCAAAACUGUCAAAUGUACAUGCAUUUUUUUAAAAGCACACGUGUUAUUCAUUAUUCCAAGGAAAACCCAACACAUAUUGAGGCCACGGAUGCUUCGUGCCACAGCUCCAGGAAGGCUGAGGACCAAAUAUUUAGCAUAAUUCUUCAUUCUAUGAUUCUUCUUGGCUUGGAUUUUCAACAAGUUGAGAACACUGCUUUCUCUGAAGCAAAAUAAAACUGUUUUGGAUAAAGUUAAAGACAGAUGACAUUUAGAGUGAUAAGCAGAGCUGAUACAUCCAUAUUCAGCCAGUCUAUCUACAUUCAGAGGAAUGAGAACCAAGAAUUUGGAAUGGAUUUAUUAACAACUCAUCACACUAUGAGAGCGUGGGGUAAUAUUUUGUAUGUGAUGUACCAGCUGUCUACAGAGCUAAGCAAACCCAGAGAUCACAGACUUUAGUCUCCUGUCUAGGUUCCAAGUAAAUGGUCUUCAGGGAGACACCAAGAAUAAAGGCUGCAAAAAUGACAUUAGAGCUCUUUGGGCUCCUUCUGAUCAUUGCUGCGCCCUGUUCUCACUAUCAAUUUGAUUUCACCGGAUGAUUCCAUAAGUGAAUUUGGAGCUUGUGAGUCAUGACUGAGACUGACUUGGUUGCUUGCAUUUUCUACCACUGAGUCCUCCUGUCCAAGUUUUCUCAAGCUUGGUGUCUGUCCUACUUUAAAUAAGAUAGCAAUGAGACAGCUGACAUAUUUCCUGCAGAGACUGUGCCUCUAGUUGGUAAAUCACAAUCAGGAAGCUGACACCCAUACUUGUUCUCCUCUGGGAAGAAAAAAAAAAGAGAACUAUUAGGAUAUGUUUGAAAGAUCUAAAAUACCCAAAGAGGAAGAACUGUGUAGGGUUGUGGCAACCGAAAAGAUAAUAUGGUUUCCAUUAUGUAACCCUAUCGAAGCCAUUACACCAUAAGAUCAGUCCUGAGGGGAAGUUGUCUCUAAUAAAUUCCAGUCUAAACGGGCAAAAUAUAA
Molecule: long non-coding RNA, 3719 nt
Organism: Macaca mulatta (Rhesus monkey)
Lineage: Eukaryota; Metazoa; Chordata; Mammalia; Primates; Cercopithecidae
Source: Ensembl